This 3109-nucleotide long non-coding RNA is filed under the name Arabidopsis thaliana (thale cress). RNAcentral describes it as "long non-coding RNA (ATHA_LNC000092)". The record is from RNAcentral. Lineage: Eukaryota; Viridiplantae; Streptophyta; Magnoliopsida; Brassicales; Brassicaceae.
AUACGUUUCCUCUGGGCAGAUUAAUAGCCACUGGAGUCCUUAGUUAUGAUGGUGAUAAAUGGGCGAAACACCGAAGAAUCAUCAACCCGGCUUUCCACCUUGAGAAGAUCAAGGUUUAAAGGCUUUAUCUUCCAUAGUCCCCAAUCAGAUUAGAUUGCUUUAUGUAUGUAUGUUCAUUUGGCUCUGAACCAAAUUGUGCCUUCUGCUUCUAUGUAUAGAAUAUGGUACCUGCGUUCCACCAGAGCUGCAGCGAGAUUGUUUGCAAAUGGGACAAGUUAGUGUCGGAUAAAGAGUCAUCAUGUGAGGUAGAUGUUUGGCCUGGGCUUGUGAGUAUGACUGCAGAUGUGAUCUCCCGUACUGCUUUUGGCAGCAGCUGCGUAGAAGGGCAGAGGAUAUUUGAGCUCCAAGCAGAACUAGCACAGCUCAUCAUUCAAACGGUUAGGAAAGCUUUCAUCCCUGGAUAUAGGUAAUGAAAAACUCAACUUAUCUGAUUUAAUAUAGGUCCUUCUGAGCUUGACUCUUGAUCUUAAAAUGUCGCAAUCUAUUCCUUAAAGAUAUGAACCGUGUUAACAUUAUCUUUCUGCCAAUCUUUUUCUGUAGUUAUCUCCCAACAAAAGGUAACAGAAGGAUGAAAGCAAAAGCAAGAGAAAUCCAAGUUAUACUGAGAGGGAUCGUUAACAAAAGGUUAAGGGCCAGAGAAGCUGGUGAAGCACCAAACGACGAUUUACUGGGAAUACUUCUUGAAUCGAAUUUGGGGCAAACGAAAGGAAACGGAAUGAGUACCGAGGAUCUGAUGGAGGAGUGCAAGUUGUUCUAUUUCGUCGGGCAAGAGACAACAUCAGUACUUCUGGUUUGGACAAUGGUUCUGUUAAGUCAACACCAAGAUUGGCAGGCUCGUGCACGAGAAGAAGUGAAGCAAGUGUUUGGCGAUAAAGAACCUGAUGCAGAAGGACUCAACCAGCUCAAAGUUGUAAGUAAAAGCAAAUCAUAAACCUCUUGGUGACUUUUGUUGUGUUUUGAUGAUUUUUGAUGAAUGAUUUGAUCCCACGCAGAUGACGAUGAUAUUAUAUGAGGUCCUUAGGCUAUAUCCUCCAAUACCUCAGCUGAGCAGAGCCAUUCACAAAGAGAUGGAGCUUGGAGAUCUGACACUACCAGGCGGCGUUCUGAUCAAUCUACCUAUCCUUCUAGUCCAACGCGACACGGAGCUGUGGGGAAACGAUGCAGGAGAGUUCAAGCCAGAUAGAUUCAAAGACGGUCUCUCAAAGGCAACAAAGAACCAAGCCUCCUUCUUUCCUUUUGCGUGGGGAUCGAGGAUCUGCAUUGGCCAGAAUUUUGCAUUGCUUGAGGCAAAGAUGGCAAUGGCAUUGAUACUCCAGAGAUUCUCCUUUGAGCUUUCUCCUUCCUAUGUUCACGCACCUUACACAGUCUUCACCAUUCACCCACAGUUCGGUGCUCCUCUUAUCAUGCACAAGCUCUAAUCGUUCGUAGCAACCCAUUUUGUUGUUAUCAAAUAUACUUUCCAUUCACAGAUGAAACAAUUCCAUAUCAGUCUACCUAUAAUGCUAGUCCAACGCGACACCAUGAUGUGGGAAUUCAAGCCUGAGAGAUUCAAAGACGGUCUUUCAAAGGCAACAAAGAGCCACGUCUCCUUCUUUCCAUUUGCAUGGGGACCGAAGAUAUGCAUCGGCCAGAAUUUUGCCAUGUUGGAGGCAAAGAUGGCAAUGGCGUUGAUUCUACAGAGAUUCUCCUUCGAGCUUUCUCCUUCCUAUGUUCAUGCGCCUCAAAUAGUCGUCACCAUUCACCCACAGUUCGGUGCACAUCUUAUCCUGCGCAAGCUGUAAUUCUAGAAUCCCAUGUGCUCUUGUCAGAUAAACAGAGGAAAAUAAACCAGAUCAUAGUAUAAAACUCAAAUCUUUUUAUUAAUUGAAUUCAGAACUUUGUGCUCACAUAUGUCUUGACAAACCAAAAUAUUUCCAAGAAAAAGAGUGAAACGCAUGGACCAAUAUAUGUCUUCCUAUUUUCGUCGCUUUUCACACGAAGUCCAAAUUUGCUUCUUGCGCCUUGGUGGCACGACUGUGAGGGUCCAAGUAAAGCAAAAAUUAAUUAGUCAUUACAAAAUAAUUGCCCAAAAUAUCAAAAUAUAAAGUAUUUAAGACAUCAGGGGUGAUGUCAUCACCACAUCCAUAUCUUCUCCGAAAUUCUAAACAUUUAUACAUCCUGAGAAUGGUCACAAAUUCUCUACCUCUCUCUCUCUCUCUCUCUGGUAGAGAAAAUGGAGAUAUCAGUUGCAUCGGUAACAGUUUCUGUAGCUGUAGUUGUUGUGUCAUGGUGGGUAUGGAGAACUUUACAGCGGGUUUGGCUUAAACCAAAGAUGCUUGAGAGUUACCUGAGAAGACAAGGUCUUGCCGGAACUCCUUACACGCCUCUUGUCGGUGAUUUGAAGAGAAAUUUUAGCAUGCUGGCUGAGGCAAGAUCCAAACCCAUCAACCUAACAGAUGAUAUCACACCACGUAUCGUGCCUUAUCCGUUGCAAAUGCUCAAGACUCAUGGUAUGCUUCCCGGUUGGCAUCUUGAUUCCUCUUUGUUUAGAACUAUUUUGUAGAGUAUCUAGAAAAAGUUUCAACUUUCGUAUCUCUAUGUGGUUGAAACAGGGAGGACUUUCUUUACAUGGUUUGGACCCAUACCAACAAUCACCAUAAUGGAUCCUGAGCAAAUCAAAGAAGUGUUCAACAAAGUUUAUGAUUUCCAGAAGGCACAUACGUUUCCUCUGGGCAGAUUAAUAGCGGCUGGACUCGUUAGUUAUGAUGGUGAUAAAUGGACAAAACACCGAAGAAUCAUCAACCCGGCUUUCCACCUUGAGAAGAUCAAAGUUUAUAAGCUUUCUUUUCCGUAGUCCCAGUUUAGCUUUAUGUAUGUAUGUCCAUUUGGUUCUGAACCAAUUUGUGUCCUCUGCUUUUAUGUACAGAAUAUGGUACCUGCGUUCCACCAGAGCUGCAGCGAGAUUGUUGGCGAAUGGGACAAGUUAGUGACGGAUAAACAGUCAUCCUGUGAGGUGGAUAUUUGGCCUUGGCUUGUGAGUAUGACUGCAGAUGUGAUCUCCCGUACUGCA